This 589-nucleotide ribosomal RNA is filed under the name uncultured bacterium. RNAcentral describes it as "bacterial SSU rRNA". It matches the Rfam family "Bacterial small subunit ribosomal RNA", at positions 338 to 917 of the family's 1533-position model. The record is from RNAcentral.
CCUACGGGAGGCAGCAGUGGGGAAUUUUGGACAAUGGGCGAAAGCCUGAUCCAGCAAUGCCGCGUGAGUGAAGAAGGCCUUCGGGUUGUAAAGCUCUUUUGUCAGGGAAGAAACGGUGAGAGCUAAUAUCUCUUGCUAAUGACGGUACCUGAAGAAUAAGCACCGGCUAACUACGUGCCAGCAGCCGCGGUAAUACGUAGGGUGCAAGCGUUAAUCGGAAUUACUGGGCGUAAAGCGUGCGCAGGCGGUUUUGUAAGUCUGAUGUGAAAUCCCCGGGCUCAACCUGGGAAUUGCAUUGGAGACUGCAAGGCUAGAAUCUGGCAGAGGGGGGUAGAAUUCCACGUGUAGCAGUGAAAUGCGUAGAUAUGUGGAGGAACACCGAUGGCGAAGGCAGCCCCCUGGGUCAAGAUUGACGCUCAUGCACGAAAGCGUGGGGAGCAAACAGGAUUAGAUACCCUGGUAGUCCACGCCCUAAACGAUGUCUACUAGUUGUCGGGUCUUAAUUGACUUGGUAACGUCAGCUAACGCGUGAAGUAGACCGCCUGGGGAGUACGGUUCGCAAGAUUAAAACUCAAAUUGAAUUGACGGG